UUUCCGUAGGUGAACCUGCGGAAGGAUCAUUAAAGUUAUAGUCCCCCGGCCCCUCCGGGCUGGGGUCUUCUAUACCACCCUUUGUUUAUUACACCUUUGUUGCUUUGGCAGGCCUGCCCUCGGGCUGCUGGCUCCGGCCGGCUCGUGCCUGCCAGAGGACCUAAACUCUGUUUGUAUAUGAAGUCUGAGUACUAUAUAAUAGUUAAAACUUUCAACAACGGAUCCCUUGGUUCUG
This 235-nucleotide unclassified non-coding RNA is filed under the name plant metagenome. RNAcentral's name for it is "partial contains small subunit ribosomal RNA, internal transcribed spacer 1, and 5.8S ribosomal RNA". The record is from RNAcentral.